Non-coding RNA from Musa acuminata subsp. malaccensis (wild Malaysian banana), 250 nucleotides. Lineage: Eukaryota; Viridiplantae; Streptophyta; Magnoliopsida; Zingiberales; Musaceae. The record is from RefSeq and is a predicted model, not a curated record.
UCUGUUUUGCCUUUCUCGUUGUCUCUAGCGGGCCUUCGAUUUGUUUCGUCGGGCAAGCAUCGUCGCUGCGAAUCUCCUCCACCUCCUCCUUUGGAUCGUCGGCUGUUUCAAAAGAGGGAACAGGAAUAAGAGAGGUAUUGGUUUGCUAAUCCUACAUGGCUUUGGGGAUCAGCAGGUGGAGGUACUGGAUUCUCUAUUGGUCAUACUGCAGACCUGACUGAAGCUGACGAGCUUGACGGCCAUGGACAUC